UCUCCACUCUUGUCUCUGAAGGACUCCAGGGCAGAGUCUGUCGAGCUCAUCUCCAAACAAAUUAGAGAAGAUGAGAUGUGGUGAUGGAUGAGAAGGUGGCUAAGAGAGACUCCAGCCAACACAGCUAACUCCCAGAGAAUAAGGUACGCAGGCUCAGUCCGAUUCCCAACGACAGAAGAACGGACGACGCUCCUCCCAACGUACUGGGACAGGAAGCUCCCAGCACCUCAGAGCAGCGGCUUUUCCCUCAGAGGUAUACCUGCAGUGCUAGAGAAGCAGCCUGCGGGCGGGCCUCCCAGCCCUAGUACAGCGGAGCGCUCUGAGCAGGCGCAGGCACAGUAGCAGCCUGGACGCCAUCCCCCGCCCCCCACUCACACACACUCCUCCACCCCUCCCCAC
RNAcentral lists this long non-coding RNA (399 nucleotides) under Sus scrofa (pig). RNAcentral's name for it is "lncRNA (ENSSSCG00060004837.1)". Lineage: Eukaryota; Metazoa; Chordata; Mammalia; Artiodactyla; Suidae. The record is from RNAcentral.